Molecule: ribosomal RNA, 253 nt
Filed under: uncultured bacterium
Lineage: Bacteria
Description: partial 16S ribosomal RNA
Rfam family: Bacterial small subunit ribosomal RNA
Source: RNAcentral
UACGAAGGUGGGAAGCGUUGUUCGGAUUUACUGGGCGGAAAGAGUGCGUAGGCGGUUUGAUAAGUCAGAAGUGAAAUCCCAGGGCUCAACCUUGGAAUUGCUUUUGAAACUAUUUUACUUGAAUUCGGUAGAGGUUGGCGGAAUUCUCAGUGUAGAGGUGAAAGUCGCAGAUAUUGAGAGGAACACCAGUGGCGUAAGCGGCCAACUGGACCGAUAUUGACGCUGAGGCACGAAAGCGUGGGUAGCAAACAGG